This 313-nucleotide unclassified non-coding RNA is filed under the name Hevea brasiliensis (rubber tree). The record is from RNAcentral. Lineage: Eukaryota; Viridiplantae; Streptophyta; Magnoliopsida; Malpighiales; Euphorbiaceae.
AAAAAAAAAAAAAAAAAACACCGUCACUUAAAAUCGAAGAGGGGUAAUGAAUUGCAGGAAGGAGAAGUGAAAAGGAUUUAGCGCCGUCGGUUUAGGGAAAUUUGGGAAAGAAAAUGGCAAUUGGUUUUACAAAUAUCAAGGCAGUGAUUAUUGACAGAAAAUUUUUGUGUCUGGUUUUCGAGUCUUUUGACAAUAAGAAAAAGGAAAAUGACAAAGCGAAGGGACAGCAACGACCUUCUUGUUUGGCAACGCAGAAUGGGAACUCCCCCACCUAUGCUGAUGAGUGCCCACUCAGACUCACUCGCUGCCCAUU